AGAGCGAACGCUGGCGGCAGGCUUAACACAUGCAAGUCGAGCGGGCGUAGCAAUACGUCAGCGGCAGACGGGUGAGUAACGCGUGGGAACGUACCUUUUGGUUCGGAACAACCCAGGGAAACUUGGGCUAAUACCGGAUAAGCCCUCACGGGGAAAGAUUUAUCGCCGAAAGAUCGGCCCGCGUCUGAUUAGCUAGUUGGUGAGGUAACGGCUCACCAAGGCGACGAUCAGUAGCUGGUCUGAGAGGAUGAUCAGCCACAUUGGGACUGAGACACGGCCCAAACUCCUACGGGAGGCAGCAGUGGGGAAUAUUGGACAAUGGGCGCAAGCCUGAUCCAAGCCAUGCCGCGUGAGUGAUGAAGGCCCUAGGGUUGUAAAGCUCUUUUGUGCGGGAAGAUAAUGACGGUACCGCAAGAAUAAGCCCCGGCUAACUUCGUGCCAGCCGCUGC
Molecule: ribosomal RNA, 449 nt
Filed under: uncultured bacterium
Lineage: Bacteria
Description: bacterial SSU rRNA
Rfam family: Bacterial small subunit ribosomal RNA
Source: RNAcentral